GCCAGGCACCGUGGUGCGUGCCUGUAGUUCCAGCUACUUGGGAGGCUGAGGUGGGAGGAUUGCUUGAGCCCAGGAGUUCUGGGCUGUAGAGUUCUAUGCUGAUUGGGGGUGUCUGCACUAAGUUUGGCAUCAAUAUGGUGACCUCCCAGGAGUGGGGGACUACCAGGUUGCCUAAGGAGGGGUAAACUGGCCCAGGUCGGAAACGGAGCAGGUCAAAACUCCCGUGCUGAUCAGUAGUGGGAUCACGCCUGUGAAUAGCCACUGCACUCCAACUUGGGCAACAUUAAAAAAAAAAU
Molecule: unclassified non-coding RNA, 296 nt
Organism: Callithrix jacchus (white-tufted-ear marmoset)
Lineage: Eukaryota; Metazoa; Chordata; Mammalia; Primates; Cebidae
Rfam family: Metazoan signal recognition particle RNA
About the family: The signal recognition particle (SRP) is a universally conserved ribonucleoprotein. It is involved in the co-translational targeting of proteins to membranes.
Source: Ensembl